RNAcentral lists this ribosomal RNA (497 nucleotides) under uncultured bacterium. RNAcentral's name for it is "partial 16S ribosomal RNA". It matches the Rfam family "Bacterial small subunit ribosomal RNA", at positions 28 to 507 of the family's 1533-position model. The record is from RNAcentral.
GAUGAACGCUGGCGGCGUGCCUAAUACAUGCAAGUCGAGCGAACGGACGAGAAGCUUGCUUCUCUGAUGUUAGCGGCGGACGGGUGAGUAACACGUGGAUAACCUACCUAUAAGACUGGGAUAACUUCGGGAAACCGGAGCUAAUACCGGAUAAUAUUUUGAACCGCAUGGUUCAAAAGUGAAAGACGGUCUUGCUGUCACUUAUAGAUGGAUCCGCGCUGCAUUAGCUAGUUGGUAAGGUAACGGCUUACCAAGGCAACGAUGCAUAGCCGACCUGAGAGGGUGAUCGGCCACACUGGAACUGAGACACGGUCCAGACUCCUACGGGGGGCAGCAGUAGGGAAUCUUCCGCAAUGGGCGAAAGCCUGACGGAGCAACGCCGCGUGAGUGAUGAAGGCCUUCGGAUCGUAAAACUCUGUUAUUAGGGAAGAACAAAUGUGUAAGUAACUGUGCACAUCUUGACGGUACCUAAUCAGAAAGCCACGGCUAACUACGUG